This 250-nucleotide ribosomal RNA is filed under the name uncultured prokaryote. RNAcentral describes it as "partial 16S ribosomal RNA". It matches the Rfam family "Bacterial small subunit ribosomal RNA", at positions 524 to 773 of the family's 1533-position model. The record is from RNAcentral.
UACGUAGGGGGCAAGCGUUAUCCGGAUUUACUGGGUGUAAAGGGAGCGUAGGCGGCGAGACAAGUCAGAAGUGAAAGCCCGUGGCUCAACUGCGGGACUGCUUUUGAAACUGCCUUGCUGGAUUUCAGGAGAGGUAAGCGGAAUUCCUAGUGUAGCGGUGAAAUGCGUAGAUAUUAGGAGGAACACUAGUGGCGAAGGCGGCUUACUGGACUGACAAUGACGCUGAGGCUCGAAAGCGUGGGGAGCAAAC